Molecule: ribosomal RNA, 269 nt
Filed under: uncultured prokaryote
Description: partial 16S ribosomal RNA
Rfam family: Bacterial small subunit ribosomal RNA
Source: RNAcentral
UACGAAGGGGGCAAGCGUUGUUCGGAUUUACUGGGCGUAAAGAGCACGUAGGCGGAUUGUUAAGUUAGGGGUGAAAUCCCAAGGCUCAACCUUGGAACUGCCUCUGAUACUGGCAAUCUUGAGAUCGAGAGAGGAGUGUGGAACUCCGAGUGUAGAGGUGAAAUUCGUAGAUAUUCGGAAGAACACCUGAGGCGAAGGCGGCACUCUGGCUCGAUACUGACGCUGAGGUGCGAAAGCGUGGGGAGCAAACAGGAUUAGAUACCCCCGUA